RNAcentral lists this ribosomal RNA (253 nucleotides) under uncultured bacterium. Its description in RNAcentral is "partial 16S ribosomal RNA". It matches the Rfam family "Bacterial small subunit ribosomal RNA", at positions 524 to 776 of the family's 1533-position model. The record is from RNAcentral.
UACGGAGGGUGCGAGCGUUGUCCGGAAUCACUGGGCGUAAAGGGCGCGUAGGCGGUUCGUUAAGUCGUUGGUGAAAUCCCGGGGCUCAACUCCGGGGCGGCCGGCGAGACUGGCGGGCUCGAGCACGGUAGAGGCAGAUGGAAUUCCCGGAGUAGCGGUGGAAUGCGUAGAUAUCGGGAAGAACACCAGUGGCGAAGGCGUUCUGCUGGGCCGUUGCUGACGCUGAGGCGCGACAGCGUGGGGAGCAAACAGG